This 547-nucleotide ribosomal RNA is filed under the name Priestia aryabhattai. RNAcentral describes it as "bacterial SSU rRNA". It matches the Rfam family "Bacterial small subunit ribosomal RNA", at positions 95 to 628 of the family's 1533-position model. Lineage: Bacteria; Bacillati; Bacillota; Bacilli; Caryophanales; Bacillaceae. The record is from RNAcentral.
GCGGCGGACGGGUGAGUAACACGUGGGCAACCUGCCUGUAAGACUGGGAUAACUUCGGGAAACCGAAGCUAAUACCGGAUAGGAUCUUCUCCUUCAUGGGAGAUGAUUGAAAGAUGGUUUCGGCUAUCACUUACAGAUGGGCCCGCGGUGCAUUAGCUAGUUGGUGAGGUAACGGCUCACCAAGGCAACGAUGCAUAGCCGACCUGAGAGGGUGAUCGGCCACACUGGGACUGAGACACGGCCCAGACUCCUACGGGAGGCAGCAGUAGGGAAUCUUCCGCAAUGGACGAAAGUCUGACGGAGCAACGCCGCGUGAGUGAUGAAGGCUUUCGGGUCGUAAAACUCUGUUGUUAGGGAAGAACAAGUACGAGAGUAACUGCUCGUACCUUGACGGUACCUAACCAGAAAGCCACGGCUAACUACGUGCCAGCAGCCGCGGUAAUACGUAGGUGGCAAGCGUUAUCCGGAAUUAUUGGGCGUAAAGCGCGCGCAGGCGGUUUCUUAAGUCUGAUGUGAAAGCCCACGGCUCAACCGUGGAGGGUCAUUG